This 506-nucleotide ribosomal RNA is filed under the name uncultured bacterium. Its description in RNAcentral is "partial 16S ribosomal RNA". It matches the Rfam family "Bacterial small subunit ribosomal RNA", at positions 29 to 523 of the family's 1533-position model. The record is from RNAcentral.
AGUGAACGCUGGCGGUAGGCCUAACACAUGCAAGUCGAACGGCAGCACAGGAGAGCUUGCUCUCUGGGUGGCGAGUGGCGGACGGGUGAGGAAUACAUCGGAAUCUACUUUGUCGUGGGGGAUAACGUAGGGAAACUUACGCUAAUACCGCAUACGACCUACGGGUGAAAGCAGGGGACCUUCGGGCCUUGCGCGAUUGAAUGAGCCGAUGUCGGAUUAGCUAGUUGGCGGGGUAAAGGCCCACCAAGGAGACGAUCCGUAGCUGGUCUGAGAGGAUGAUCAGCCACACUGGAACUGAGACACGGUCCAGACUCCUACGGGAGGCAGCAGUGGGGAAUAUUGGACAAUGGGCGCAAGCCUGAUCCAGCCAUACCGCGUGGGUGAAGAAGGCCUUCGGGUUGUAAAGCCCUUUUGUUGGGAAAGAAAUCCAGCUGGCUAAUACCCGGUUGGGAUGACGGUACCCAAAGAAUAAGCACCGGCUAACUUCGUGCCAGCCGCCGCAGUAA